Non-coding RNA from Schizosaccharomyces pombe (fission yeast), 697 nucleotides. The record is from the annotation of a GenBank genome assembly. NCBI's taxonomy places the organism in Eukaryota, Fungi, Ascomycota, Schizosaccharomycetes, Schizosaccharomycetales, Schizosaccharomycetaceae.
UGUAUGAAUGAAGAAGAAAGCAAAACUCCAAAUUUUCGAUUGAUAAAGGAGCUCAAAUAUUUUUGAAAGGUCGCAUAAAUAAUAUUUGGUGGGUAAUGAGAGAGUAAUUCUUCAUUAAAAGUUUCCUUCAAAAUAUUAUCGUACAGCUCAUCCCCCUCAAUCUUCUCCUUUUCAGACAGUGGAUAUAGUAAAUUCUUUAAAUCUGCUCAGUUAACGUUAUGAUCCAAAUUGCAAUAUUACCUGUAUGAUAUUUAAAUCCGCCUUUGAAAGCUUCAAGAUGUUCGACAGUUUUCUCAGCAGAAGCCUUCGAAGUAUUAUGAGUAUUAAACUUCAAUGAUUUUUGUGAAAUAUUAUUAUGGUCCAAAUUGUACAUUUGCGAAGGAAGUGUAGCACAAGAUUUUGAUAAACCGCCUUGAUUAUAAAACCUGUUCAAUGAUAAACUGAUUUUAGAAGGGCUUCCGGGCCUUCCUCCAAAUGAUAACCUACUUUUUCGUGGGCUGGAAUUAGCAGAAAGCAAAUGCUGUAUAAGGUUUGAGUAUAGAUCCAAGCUUGAGAAAUUUCUAUUUGAAAAAGGGCAUAGGAGAAGCCUUUUUAUAUUAAUAAGAUAAUUAAGACAAGCCUCCCUAAGGUCUUCCUUAGCUAUAACAGCUUCAGUAGGCAAACUGACACCUAACCAGGAAUCGAAACUUAAAUGAAA